UACGAACCCCAUAUGUCUACCCAGCUGU
RNAcentral lists this small RNA (28 nucleotides) under Bombyx mori (domestic silkworm). Its description in RNAcentral is "ovarian small RNA-20954". The record is from RNAcentral. Lineage: Eukaryota; Metazoa; Arthropoda; Insecta; Lepidoptera; Bombycidae.